ACACAUGACAUCACUAAAACUGCUCUGCCUGCAAUAUAGCUUAACUUCCUUCAGCUAUUUCAUGGAGAUUUUGAUAUAUUAUGGAUAUUAGGUGUAUAUAUUAUAUUUUUCCCAUCUUACAGAUUGUAUUUUCAAGCAUUCUCUUUUCUUAUACCUUAACUGUAAUUUUUUAUAUAGUAAAAUUAUCAUUUUCAUUUUAUUAUUACUGGUUUACAGGCCUUAUUUAUAAAGAUCUCUUCCAACCUAAACAUAUUUAAAAAUUAAUCCAUAGCAUUUAUUGAUUGACUUUUGCAUAAAUGAGUCUUUAAUUCAUAUGGAAUUAAUUUUCCUAAAUAAAGAAGUUGGAAAUCCAGUUUUUACUAAAAAUAUUUGACAAAUGUUGUCCAUGCUGUUAAAUAACCCAGUUCUCCCUCAGUGAUUUAAAUUGCCCUCUCUAUCUUUUUAUAUUAUACAAAACUUGAUAUGUAUUUACAUUUCUAAUAUCUAUUCUGAUCCAUUGAUUCGGUACUAAUUCCUAAACAUGUACAUCACUGUCUUGAUUUCUGUUGUUUAGGGUUUUAUUCAGAUAUUUUCUGUUCCAAAUUCUACAUCAUCAGACUUCUUUUUAAAGUAUUUUUCUGAGAGUUCCCAUCAUGGUUCAGCAGAAACGAAUCUGACUAGCAUCCAUGAGGACACAGGUUCGAUCCCUGGCCUUACUCAGUGGGUUAAGGAUCUGGCGUUGCAGGGAGCUGUGGUAUAGGUUGCCAACUCCACUUGUAUCUGGCAUUACUGUGGCUGUGGUGUAGGCCAGCAGUUCAGCUCCGAUUCAACCCCUAGCCUGGGAACCUCCAUAUACCAUGGGUGCGGCCCUAAAAAAACAAACAAACAAAAAGUAUUUUUCUGGCUAUUCUCUCAAGGCUAUAAUGCUCAGUGUUGAUUAGAAAUAUUGGUACAUAUCACUCCUACUCCUUCACAGUUCCCCUGAUAUCCCCAGAUGACCCAAGGAUUAAGUUGAAUUUAUAUAGGGGGGUCUUUCCUCAUGAAGACAAAGAAUAUUUCUCUAUUUAUUUGUCUUUUUUAUUCUUCAGUUAAUUUAAAAUUUUUCUUCAGAUAUCUUUUGAAGAUUUUGUUAUGCUUGUUUUUAGGUGUGGUAUAUGUUGUUGCCAUUAAGCUCUGAAAUUUUUAUAUUGUGUUUUUUAAUUAGGUGUGAGCAUAUUAAAAAUCCAUCGACUUUUAUAAAUUAAUUUUAUUAACAGUCAUUAUACUGUACUCAUAUAGUUUUUAGUAUUUAUUCGGUUUGUUUGGAUAUUCUAUCGUAAGCAAAUGGUAUGACUGAAUCCUUCUUCCCAAUGUUUAUGUAAUGGCCUAGCUAGUAGCAAUAAAUUACAUUUCUAGAAAAAAUAAAGUUUAAAAAUAGCAAUAUUAGGCACUCCUAUGUUUUUCCUGAAUUUACUACUGUUGCAUCAUGUCAUUCUACAUUGCAUUUGUAUUUCUGUGUAUGUGUUUGUGUAUUAGAAAUAGUUAUAUGUCUGUAUUUUGGAUAACAUGUAAGUAGUUUUAAGUUGGUUUUAUCAAGAGUUAAUGUUCAAUUUUAUUAAAUGUACUUUUAACAUCAAUCACAAAAAUAAAGGACUUUCCUGCUUUGGUCUCUUACAUAAUAAUUUUGGUUAUAGGCCUUUUUAUUAAAUUUUCUGAACUGAACCACACUUGGAAAUAUUAAUCUUUACCUCAGAUAUUAGCAUCUGAUUCAAAUUCUGAUUGUGUCACUUAAUACUCUCUCCUUUUCAUUUUCCAUUAUCUAUAAAUGGAGGAUAAUAAUAGCACUGAACUCAGAGUUUACAAAAAUAAAGGAAUUGAUUUAUAUAUAAAGCACUUAAAACAAGUUCUGGAAAAAAGCAUGUACUCAGGAAACAUGAGCAAUAAUUGGCAGAAUUAAUAUCAGAUGCUCUCAGUAAGAUUUGGGAGUUAGUGUUAUGCUUGUAUACAAAGUUUUAGGAAAUACAAAUACCUAUCUAUAAAAUCUUCCAACAUUUUUAAAAUGGCUUUUCAAUUUGUUCCUUUUUUGUUUGUUUGUUUGUUUUGUCUUUUUGCCAUUUCAGCUCCUGCAGCAUAUGGAGGUUCCAAGUCUAGGGGUUGAAUCAGAGCUGUAGCCACUGGCCUACGCCAGAGCCACAGCAACGCGGGAUCCGAGCUGUGUCUGCAGCCUACACCACAGCUCAAGGCAACGCUGGAUCCUUAACCCGCUGAGCAAGGGCAGGGAUCGAACCUGCAACUUCAUGGUUCCUAGUUGGAUUCGUUAAUCACUGAGCCACAAUGGGAACUCCUCAAUUUGUUCCUUUGACAAUGGUUUUGGGGGGCUUCCUGUCUUUUUUAUAAGCAAUUUUAAUAUUUAAUAUUUUAUUUUUAAAUAUCCCUUUCAGCUGGCUUUGCAAAUAAAGAAUUCUCUAUUUUGAAUUACUUUUUAAUCUAUUAGUCUGUCUUCCUAAUGGCAAAUGUGGUACACUUAUGAAUUUUUAUUUUUCUGUUUGUUAUCUAAGUAAUUAAUUCCUUCUCUGUUUUUAUAAAAUAAUUCCUUCUCAUCCAUUCUUUUAUCACUUUUACUUGUUUCUGUUCCUGAUCUGCCUAGCUUUACCAGCUUGAGUACAAAAAUGAGGUCACUUCUAUUUAAUAUUCAAAUUAAAUUGCACAGAGCCCUCAUCUUUCCUAUCCCAAGAGUCACUUUGUAAUUUCCCCUGCAAAUUCUCAAUUCUGUGAGAAUAUUCUCUAUCUCUAGCCCUGUUUGUUAUUAUUUUUAGGGGGAAAAAUCUGAAAAAUCUAUUCAGGCACAUGGAAGCCUGUGCUCUUCCACUGUAAUCGUCAUUGCUCCCUCAGUCAAUUGCAAUUGGCUGACCCUGGCUUCGUGCAUCACUGUCACUAGUCUCUGGAAGUUUAUCCAGGAAGUGGGGAUGGGAGUAGGAGAGAGGUGAGGGGAAAGCUGCUUUCUUCAGUAUUUAGUUUGAUCAUGGGUGAUCACUCAAUAUUUCUAUAGAGAAAUUCAUUUCUCUCUACUAAUAUAUACAUUAGUAACAUAUAAAUACCUGCAUA
This 3063-nucleotide long non-coding RNA is filed under the name Sus scrofa (pig). Its description in RNAcentral is "lncRNA (ENSSSCG00000056256.1)". Lineage: Eukaryota; Metazoa; Chordata; Mammalia; Artiodactyla; Suidae. The record is from RNAcentral.